RNAcentral lists this unclassified non-coding RNA (282 nucleotides) under Hevea brasiliensis (rubber tree). The record is from RNAcentral. Lineage: Eukaryota; Viridiplantae; Streptophyta; Magnoliopsida; Malpighiales; Euphorbiaceae.
GCCUGCCAUUAGCAGCUGAGAACUGAAACUGAAGCUCCACCGAAAUGGCAUUCCCCAAUUUAUCCACCAUUCUAAUUCCUCAUCUCCUUCUGAUCAUCAUCUUCAUCAUCUCCACAGCUUCCCCACCAUCACUUGCAUCCCGCUUCUCCAAUUUCCCCUUGUCCAAACGAGCCCCGCGCUUCCUUGGCAAAUUCUCACACCAGAUCAAACCCCUGCAGCAGCGAGAGUACCGAUACGAGACCCGAUACUUUUAUCAGAGACUCGACCACUUCAGCUUCUCGG